Long non-coding RNA from Spinacia oleracea (spinach), 689 nucleotides. RefSeq lists it as uncharacterized. The transcript is spliced from 3 exons. The record is from RefSeq and is a predicted model, not a curated record. NCBI's taxonomy places the organism in Eukaryota, Viridiplantae, Streptophyta, Magnoliopsida, Caryophyllales, Amaranthaceae.
AAAUCAGGAGUUUCGUGAAAUUUUAUUCAUACAGCCAGAAACUUUGGAAGGGUGAUGAGAGCUUGUAAGCUUAUCUCAGUGAUAUUACUGUUUCAAACUUUCAACAAUCUUGUGAUCUCGAAAUAAGUAGAAGGUCUUACCCAGUAAAACACAUAGAGCGUAGGGUCUGAGAAAGGUCCAAAUGUACGCAGAGGUUGAUCAAAACCCGUGACCUAGCUGAUAACAAGUAGACACUAAUUAAAAAUUUGAAAGGUGUAGUUGCAUAUAAGUUUGAUCGAUCUUGAUAUCUAUGGCCACUAAUUGCAUAUUUAAUUUGGUUGCCUUGCAGAUCAUCAUGGUCCUCUGAAGGUGAAGUUUUGGCAAGACCCGCUAAGCCCAUCGAGAUGGAAGAAAGAACAGUUUGUCAUUGUUUCUCUGGUUGGUUGGGGCACGCUAAUCUAUGGAGGCUACAAGUUCUUCUUCACAGGAGAUCAAAAAGAAAACAAAGACGAGAAAGUUGGGAAAUCGCCAAAGUGAGAUGUGGAAAUUCAGGCGGUCCUGUUGGAUGACGCUAGCUGCCAGCUGGAUCUAGUGUUGUAAUGUUGUACGUUAUUUUUUUUUUUUUUUUUUUUUUUUUUUUUUGGUUUUCCAAUAUGUAUCCUGUUAUGUACUUCAUGACUUUGUAUGAUAUGAAAACAUCCUUGUACAAA